RNAcentral lists this non-coding RNA (454 nucleotides) under Mesitornis unicolor (brown roatelo). Its description in RNAcentral is "Eukaryotic large subunit ribosomal RNA". It matches the Rfam family "Eukaryotic large subunit ribosomal RNA", at positions 2414 to 2810 of the family's 3401-position model. Lineage: Eukaryota; Metazoa; Chordata; Aves; Mesitornithiformes; Mesitornithidae. The record is from Rfam by way of RNAcentral.
UGUUGAGCCUGACUCUAGUCUGGCACUGUGGAGAGAUAUCAGAGGUGUAGAACAAAUGGGAGGCUCCGCAGUUGCACAAUGCAGGCCAAGGUCCAGUUGCCAGUGAUACACUGCUGAUCAUUUCUUCCACUUACCUGCUGAGGUGUGUGGCCAGUGGGGAGCCCCAAAGGGCUCUCACUUCUGAUGCCAAGCGCCUGGCAUGACAUGCUCCAGGGACAGGCUCAGGUAGGGAGUUUGACUGGGGCAGUACACUCGUCAAAUCAUAACACAGGUGUCCUAGGACAAGCUCAGGGUGGAUGAAACCUCCCAAAGAGCAGAAGAUCAAGGCUUGAUCUUGAUCUCUAGUACAGAUAUAGUCCAUGAAAGCAGGGCCUCACUGUCCUUCUGAGUUUCUGGGUUUUAAGUAGGCAUCCAGGAGGCAGUGGCUGAGAAACUCCAGGCACAAGUCUCCACA